Molecule: transfer RNA, 74 nt
Filed under: Candidatus Collierbacteria bacterium CG10_big_fil_rev_8_21_14_0_10_44_9
Lineage: Bacteria; Candidatus Collieribacteriota
Description: tRNA-Asp
Rfam family: tRNA
About the family: Transfer RNA (tRNA) molecules are approximately 80 nucleotides in length. Their secondary structure includes four short double-helical elements and three loops (D, anti-codon, and T loops).
Source: RNAcentral
GGGGCUGUAGCGCAGUUGGUUAACGCGUCUCCCUGUCACGGAGAAGAUCAGGGGUCCGAAUCCCCUCAGCCUCG